RNAcentral lists this ribosomal RNA (254 nucleotides) under uncultured bacterium. RNAcentral describes it as "partial 16S ribosomal RNA". It matches the Rfam family "Bacterial small subunit ribosomal RNA", at positions 524 to 776 of the family's 1533-position model. The record is from RNAcentral.
UACGGGGGGAGCAAGCGUUGUUCGGAUUUACUGGGCGUAAAGGGCGCGUAGGCGGCCAGCACAAGUCAGUUGUGAAAUCUCCGAGCUUAACUCGGAAAGGUCAACUGAUACUGUGCGGCUAGAGUGCGGAAGGGGCAACUGGAAUUCUUGGUGUAGAGGUGAAAUGCGUAGAUAUCAAGAGGAACACCUGCGGCGAAGGCGGGUUGCUGGGCCGACACUGACGCUGAGGCGCGAAAGCCAGGGGAGCGAACGGG